GUGGGGAAUUUUGGACAAUGGGGGCAACCCUGAUGGAGCGACGCCGCGUGGAGGAUAAGGUCUUCGGAUUGUAAACUCCUGUCAUGCGUGAACAAGGUUGCUUGGUUAAUACCUGGGCAAAUUGAUGGUAACGCAAGAGGAAGAGACGGCUAACUCUGUGCCAGCAGCCGCGGUAAUACAGAGGUCUCAAGCGUUGUUCGGAAUCACUGGGCGUAAAGGGUGCGUAGGUGGCGUGGUAAGUCAGAUGUGAAAGCCCGGGGCUCAACCUCGGAACUGCAUCCGAUACUGCCAUGCUAGAGUACUGGAGAGGUGACUAGAAUUCUCGGUGUAGCAGUGAAAUGCGUAGAUAUCGAGAGGAAUACCAAAGGCGUAGGCAGGUCACUGGACAGUUACUGACACUGAGGCACGAAGGCCAGGGGAGCGAACGGGAUUAGAUACCCCAGUAGUCC
Molecule: ribosomal RNA, 449 nt
Filed under: uncultured bacterium
Lineage: Bacteria
Description: partial 16S ribosomal RNA
Rfam family: Bacterial small subunit ribosomal RNA
Source: RNAcentral